This 253-nucleotide ribosomal RNA is filed under the name uncultured bacterium. RNAcentral's name for it is "partial 16S ribosomal RNA". It matches the Rfam family "Bacterial small subunit ribosomal RNA", at positions 524 to 776 of the family's 1533-position model. The record is from RNAcentral.
UACAGAGGGGGCAAGCGUUGUUCGGAAUUACUGGGCGUAAAGGGCGCGUAGGCGGCCUGCUAAGUCGGACGUGAAAUCCCUCGGCUCAACCGGGGAACUGCGUCCGAUACUGGUGGGCUCGAAUCCGGGAGAGGGAUGUGGAAUUCCAGGUGUAGCGGUGAAAUGCGUAGAUAUCUGGAGGAACAUCGGUGGCGAAGGCGGCAUCCUGGACCGGUAUUGACGCUGAGGCGCGAAAGCCAGGGGAGCAAACGGG